This 789-nucleotide ribosomal RNA is filed under the name uncultured bacterium. RNAcentral's name for it is "bacterial SSU rRNA". It matches the Rfam family "Bacterial small subunit ribosomal RNA", at positions 8 to 796 of the family's 1533-position model. The record is from RNAcentral.
AGAGUUUGAUCAUGGCUCAGAUUGAACGCUGGCGGNNNGCUUACACAUGCAAGUCGAACGCGAAAGGGGGCAACCCCGAGUAGAGUGGCGAACGGGUGAGCAAUACAUCGGAACACGUCCUGUAGCGGGGGACAACCUCGAGAAAUCGAGGCUAAUACCGCAUACGAUCUACGGAUGAAAGUGGGGGACCGCAAGGCCCCACACUAUAGGAGUGGCCGAUGCCGGAUUAGCUAGUUGGUGGGGUAACGGCCUACCAAGGCGACGAUCCGUAGCUGGUUUGAGAGAACGACCAGCCACACUGGGACUGAGACACGGCCCAGACUCCUACGGGAGGCAGCAGUGGGGAAUUUUGGACAAUGGGCGAAAGCCUGAUCCAGCCAUGCCGCGUGAGUGAAGAAGGCCUUCGGGUUGUAAAGCUCUUUCGGCCGGGACGAAAUGGCGCGGGGUAACAUCCCGCGUCGAUGACGGUACCGGAAGAAGAAGGACCGGCUAACUACGUGCCAGCAGCCGCGGUAAUACGUAGGGUCCAAGCGUUAAUCGGAAUUACUGGGCGUAAAGCGUGCGUAGGCGGUCUCGCAAGUCCGAUGUGAAAUCCCCGAGCUUAACUUGGGAACUGCGUUGGAAACUAUGAGGCUAGAGUGCGGCAGAGGGGGGUGGAAUUCCAGGUGUAGCAGUGAAAUGCGUAGAGAUCUGGAGGAACACCGAUGGCGAAGGCAGCCCUCUGGGCUAGCACUGACGCUGAUACACGAAAGCGUGGGGAGCAAACAGGAUUAGAUACCCUAGUAGUCC